Molecule: long non-coding RNA, 333 nt
Filed under: Sarcophilus harrisii (Tasmanian devil)
Lineage: Eukaryota; Metazoa; Chordata; Mammalia; Dasyuromorphia; Dasyuridae
Description: lncRNA (ENSSHAG00000031279.1)
Source: RNAcentral
AACACAGGUGGUCAUGACCUUCCUGACUUCUCAAGGAGGAAACCUUUAACUGUGGGGAAGAAGACAUUGAACUUCAACAAAUCAGAAGCAUCUUACCGUAGAAAAGAAAGGAGUUUUAAUUUGACAGAGCUCGGGAGAUUUGAGCAUCUCCCCACCACCUAAGGUGGUCUGGCAGUGAAGAGAGGCUAGUCCCCCGCUCAGGAAAAGAAGGGAAGGACAUCUUUGCAGUUAUAAUCAUCUCCCAACAGCCUGCCGAGGACCAAGGCCUGGCCCAAGCAGCAAACCUGGAGCCAGAGGGAAUGGCCCCUGAGAACAGCAGACCCCCACCCCAGG